AUGGCCGAAUGCUUCAAUAGGGUGCUCAAAGGUGCACGUGGAUUACCCGUGACGGCAAUAGUUCAAUACACAUUUGACAAGAUGAAUGCGUACUUUGUAAAGUACUCGAUGGAAACCGAUGCACAGAUAGCGGGUGAGAACCCACGGAAGUACAAGUACAAGUUCCCACCCAAAGUUGAUGAAUGGUUGGUAUUUCAAUCACGGAAGGCGGACUCAGAAGAAACUAUAUUAUAUGACAACGAAGAGUGGAAGUACGAAGUGAAAGAGCCAGGAGGAACCACAAACGAUGGCCGGCAACAUGGAGGUUGGGCUUUCAAGGUGUCGUUAACACAAUGUGAUUGCACUUGCGGGAGGCCAUUGUUGCUUCAUCUCCCAUGCUCACAUUUGUAUGCCGCCGGUCGCGUUAGGAAUGUGGACAUCAAUCACCCACGCACCGUGAGGGAGUCGGAGUUCUCAAUCAUGACGGUCAAGAAAACAUGGGCUCCCCGCUUUCACCCAUACUUUGACCAAUCACAAUGGCCGGAGUAUCAUGGAGUUCAACUAUGGCCGGAUCCGGAGUUGAAGGUUGUUAAACGGGGUAGACGUAAGACAAAGCGUCUUAGAGGCGACAUGGACGGAUGGGGCCAUGGUGGGCGCCGCGAAGCGGGCAACGACCAAUUCCAAGAGCCUCGUGAGAGCUCCCGUUGUGGGGAGUGCAAAGGUCAUGGCCACAACAAAAGAAAAUGUACGAAACAAAGGAAAAGGUCCAAGAAAAAUGAUGCAAGCACAAGCCAACAAGGAGCUACACAAGGGAGCCAACCAAGUGGUAGCCAACCAAGUGGUAGCCAACCUAGUGGUAGCCAACCUAGUGGUAGCCAACAAGUGCCAAGCCAACCAAGUGGUAGCCAACCUAGUGGUAGCCAACAAGUGCCAAGACAACCAAGUGGUAGCCAACAAGUGCCUAGCCAACCAAGUGUUAGCCAAAGAGGAUCUAGGCAACAAAGAGGCCGGCACAACUUGGACUUACAAGAGGCCGUGGUGGUGGUAGAGGUGGUGGUGGUGGUCUAG
RNAcentral lists this ribosomal RNA (1047 nucleotides) under Triticum aestivum (bread wheat). Its description in RNAcentral is "partial small subunit ribosomal RNA". Lineage: Eukaryota; Viridiplantae; Streptophyta; Magnoliopsida; Poales; Poaceae. The record is from RNAcentral.